GUUCGAUAUUUUGCCACAUCGUAGGAAACUUUGAGGAGGUACGUGUACGCAUCGUCAUAGCCUUGAAAAUCAUUGGGAUGGCUUUUAUAAACGGACUGUUUCUCAGAAAGACACAUGUCGCUAACGCAUACAAAGAAGUCAUAUAUGCCAAAAUUGCCUGGGAGACAACAACCUUGAAAGAACUACAAGCCAGUUUUAAUGAUUUUGGUAAAAAAACGGACGUCAAAGUUGGGUUUGUAAAAGAAUUCUGCGAUAAAAACGGACUCCUCCCUAUCGCCAGUGGUAGUCAUUUUGCAUUCGACUGUAACGGAGAUUUAGACGGCGUUGUUUAUGUAAGCAUCGUUAGUGAAAGUGGGCGUGUUAUUUGCCCUCCGACUUCUGUCCAAGUCAACCGCAGCGUCAUCGUUGAUGCUAAAGGUUUCCUGAGGAGAGCCAAAUACAGAACAAUGUUUCAACUUGGCUCAAGCGAAAUUUGGGUCGAAGAAGACGGGACAGAUCACAGGGUGUGAUGAAUGUAAAAACGAUUAGCAAUGCACUAAAAACCAACGUUUAUUGUCCAAUAACCCCAAACCCUAGUGGUGAUGCAGAACAUUAUCCUUAUUAUAUUCAUCGUUACUUUUCUGUAGUUUCUCCAACUUGUAUUCUAAUUCUAACAGUUGAAUAGUAGUUAACCUUAACCAUUAUAAUGAUGCAAUACUGCCUAUUGCACCCCUGUCUCCUUUUUUUGGCAAAUAUAUGCAUUAGGUCUCA
Daphnia carinata is the source of this 750-nucleotide long non-coding RNA. RefSeq lists it as uncharacterized. NCBI's taxonomy places the organism in Eukaryota, Metazoa, Arthropoda, Branchiopoda, Diplostraca, Daphniidae. The record is from RefSeq and is a predicted model, not a curated record. The transcript has 2 exons.